CGCACGCAACCUUUUUUCCUUCCCUUCUUCUUCUUCUUCUAUUCCUUUCAGCCCUAGCCAUCGUCCGCCUUCCAGCCACCAGCCUUGUCAUUUCGAUGCCGCCGCAAGCAACGUCGCCAGAUCUCCUCGCCAGCGCCGCUGCAAGCAGCCUCACCUCGUCGGAUAUCCUCGCCAGCGCCACCGCAAGCAGUGCCUCGCCGUUCCGUCGUCGCCGCCAUGAGUUCCAGCUGCCGCCGUGAGCUCCUCGUUACCGUGAGCAGCGCCGCCUCCUUGUCGUUUUGUUCGCCGCCUCUGCCUUUUUGAGAUUAGGAUUUGGAUUUCGAGGCGUUGCUAACAAAGAAAGGACUAUUCUCUUCAUCGGAGAGUUUUAGUUUGGGUAAGUUUUAUGUAAGUUGGUCGGUUAUUCUUGGAAAAAAAAUAAGUUAUUGAUUUUGGAAUUAAUUAUUGAUCAGAUUGGCUACUUGAAUAAAGUUUUGAAAUUUUUCUUGGAUCAAGCCACAACUUUGGGUUGAUUCAAGUUUUCCAAAGGUUUUAAGGAAUUAUUUGCGUGGACUUUUGUGACCAAGUUGAGAUAAGUGAUACUAUUAUUGGCAA
Benincasa hispida (wax gourd) is the source of this 594-nucleotide long non-coding RNA. RefSeq lists it as uncharacterized. Lineage: Eukaryota; Viridiplantae; Streptophyta; Magnoliopsida; Cucurbitales; Cucurbitaceae. The record is from RefSeq and is a predicted model, not a curated record.